GUUUUUACGUGUUUUGAGCUUUGCGCCCCGGUCGCCUGCAGGAAAGCACCUUGUAGCCGGCACCCUGCUCGGCAGCGAGUACAAGAGAGGCCGGGAAUGGCAGGAAGCACGGCUUUUAUAUCCGGGUCGCAGACCCUGCUGGCUGAUUCAUAUCUUCUUCCUUGGAAAUGUUUCAACUUCACUCAGCAAUGGCCAUAACUGCGUGCUUCCAAAAGGUCAUAGGUCAGUGACCUUGGAUGGAUUCCCUGUCCACAUCCGCUGCUGAUCCCACAGCUGAAGGUGCCGGGAUCUGGUUCUAGGCCGAGACCGGACAUACAGUGUUACCCUGUGGUGCUAACUAGCACCAGUAAAGUGCUUAAUGAUUAUAAUUCAUGGCGGGGUCAUCUAUGGCAUAAUAAAUAUUGAUUUGAC
Long non-coding RNA from Hyla sarda, 411 nucleotides. RefSeq lists it as uncharacterized. The transcript has 5 exons. The record is from RefSeq and is a predicted model, not a curated record. NCBI's taxonomy places the organism in Eukaryota, Metazoa, Chordata, Amphibia, Anura, Hylidae.